This 779-nucleotide long non-coding RNA is filed under the name Marmota monax (woodchuck). Lineage: Eukaryota; Metazoa; Chordata; Mammalia; Rodentia; Sciuridae. The record is from RNAcentral.
CUAUUAAUUUUCGCUUUAAAAGGUUAAAUUGAAGGUGGUUGAGAUACCUUCAUGGCGGAAAAAAGAUUGCUUUAUUGCAUCAUUCGAAGCCUAGUUAAUCUUAAAGGCAUUACUUAAAAAAAAUGGGAAGAUAAUAGGAUAAAAGAUAUUUAGAUAAAGAAGAUUAAAAAUUUGAAGUGAAAAACUUUAAAGACAGAAGUAUAGAAAGUUAAAAAGAAAAAAGAUAAACAAGAUGUAGAAAGAUAAAAAAAAUGUAGAAAGACAAGAAUUUUAAACCCACAAAAUAGGAAACAAGAAAACUAGGAGAGAAAAUAAGCAACUAAGGGUAAAUAUAAAAACCUUAAAAAAAAAUUAGAUAGAAAUAAGAAAAUGGUUGAAAAUGUCAAGUAAGGUAUUACACAGAUAGAAAAUGCAAAAAGCUAAGACAACUAUUAGAUACAGACAUAUACUUAUUAAAGCAAAAAGAGGGAAUUGGAAGGGGGUAUAUAUCCCCCAAAGAUAAACUUAAAAUAACGCUUUUUACUCUAAACUUUUAAAAAUUUAGAUUCAUCAGGACUUAGUGCUGCAGAAAGGCAUAUGUAUCCAAAAAAUGUACAUAAGUCUAAGGUACUUUGGAAAGAUAUUCUAACAGGACAAUGGAAAGGUCCUGACCCAGUGAUUGUCUGGAGUCGGGGUUUUGUUUGUGUUUUUCCACAGGGAGAACAGCAGCCCAUUUGGAUUCCAGAGAGAUUAACUAAAACAGUUUCUACAGAUCGAAAAGAAGAUGAUUUGACUCAAAU